RNAcentral lists this microRNA precursor (200 nucleotides) under Dichanthelium oligosanthes. RNAcentral's name for it is "MIR1435 microRNA precursor family". It matches the Rfam family "MIR1435 microRNA precursor family". The record is from Rfam by way of RNAcentral. Lineage: Eukaryota; Viridiplantae; Streptophyta; Magnoliopsida; Poales; Poaceae.
UGGUUUUGUCUGAAGUCAAACUUUCUUAAGUUUGACCAAAUUUAUAUAAAAGAUUAUCAAUUUUUAUGACAUCAAAUAAAUAUACUAUGAAAAUAUAUUUCAUCAUGAAUCUAAUGAUACUUAUUUGGUUUCAUAAGAAAUAGUAAUUUUUUGUAUAAAUUUGGUCAAACUUAAGAAAGUCUGACUUCAGACAAAAUUAA